GCAGCCGCCGCGGUAAUACAGAGGGUGCGAGCGUUAAUCGGAUUUACUGGGCGUAAAGCGUGCGUAGGCGGCUUUUUAAGUCGGAUGUGAAAUCCCUGAGCUUAACUUAGGAAUUGCAUUCGAUACUGGGAAGCUAGAGUAUGGGAGAGGAUGGUAGAAUUCCAGGUGUAGCGGUGAAAUGCGUAGAGAUCUGGAGGAAUACCGAUGGCGAAGGCAGCCAUCUGGCCUAAUACUGACGCUGAGGUACGAAAGCAUGGGGAGCAAACAGGAUUAGAUACCCCAGUAGUCCCUGUCUCUUAUAC
Molecule: ribosomal RNA, 302 nt
Filed under: uncultured bacterium
Lineage: Bacteria
Description: partial 16S ribosomal RNA
Rfam family: Bacterial small subunit ribosomal RNA
Source: RNAcentral